RNAcentral lists this long non-coding RNA (1102 nucleotides) under Homo sapiens (human). Its description in RNAcentral is "non-protein coding LINC01208:1". Lineage: Eukaryota; Metazoa; Chordata; Mammalia; Primates; Hominidae. The record is from RNAcentral.
CAGCAAUACUAAACUGAUACACAAAGGAUCCCCGUACUUCAUCAAAAUAUCAAUGUUGUCCAUGACACACAAAGAACCCAGCUGUAGUUUAAUUCAGCAUCACAGUCCCAACAUGUUUUAAAACAUGUUCCAGCUUUUGGUCCCAGGAUUAUUCAACCUAGCUCAUAAAAGAAAACAAUAUUGCAUUUCUAAGUAUUGGCUCCUAGAAUUGGCAAGUUUAGUCAAGAAAAGCUGGAAUGCCGUUAAAACAACACCCUGUCAUCUUUCAAUCAGUCCUUAGCUGAAGUUAAAAUCCCACUCAUUCUGCAUGAUCCAGCCUCUGUAGCAUAGAGUGAGUAGCCCCUUAACAAGAACCAAAAUGGAGGGUACGGAUGAGGCUCAGAUCGUCACCACCUGGAGAAUAGAGACAGUGACUGAGUCACCAGGAAAUCUGUCCCCUGCUCAUCCCAGAAUCCCCGAGCUUUGACUUUUUAAGAGAACAUGUGACAGAUAAUGCCAUCUGAGAAGUCCAGCUUAGGCAACUCAGUCAUCAAUGUGUCCUCGAGAAGAGCAUAUCCCCAAAUUGGAAAAUAAUCCUUCAGGGCAUCUGAACAUAACCACAUUUGGCUUACUUUGUGAAGCAGUUGUCUGAAUAGAAUAAGACUGGCUUGGAACGAGAUUCACAGAGCAACCAAAUAAAGAUGAUUGAGUGAAUGGCUAAAGAAAUAAAUAUGUUCGAAUCUGUACCCAUCUCAUGUCUUUCCUGAUGAUUGCCUCCUUUACUGUAUGUUUUCCACUGAGAUGAAGAUUUUGGUCAUUUCCUCAUUCAUGUUCCUGCUUUUCAAAACCCAAGCAAGAAAGGAAACUUCUACAGUGACUUUCUCAUUAUGAAAUCUUAGCAUUCACUAGUCGGCCAUAAUGGAAAACCAGCCAAAUGGACACAUAUACACUGGUCUGUACCCGCAGAGAAAGAAAUGCAAAUCUCUGUGAUCAGAAAACUAUCCUAUCUUGUACAUUGUUAAAAGUCUGCCUCCAAAAAGUUUACUUCUGGAAUACUGUAAUUGAAUAGAAUCAGGGAUCCUACCUGUGUCCUUCAACUUUCACAUCUUGUCUACUCAAGUAA